RNAcentral lists this long non-coding RNA (261 nucleotides) under Homo sapiens (human). Its description in RNAcentral is "HSALNT0173722". Lineage: Eukaryota; Metazoa; Chordata; Mammalia; Primates; Hominidae. The record is from RNAcentral.
GCCUUCAGCAAUGAAGAGCAGACUUUCCUCUAAUCAUUAGAAAUUAUGUUUGAUCAUGAGCCAAACACUGUUCCUUGUGUGUCAUUGGUAACAGACAAGGUAGCUCUCGCCACAGUAAUUAAAGUGAUCUUGGUGGCACUACCCUGAUAGAAUAACAUAUGCUGACAGCUCCCUCAUCAGAGCAAGCAGUUGAGCCUUCCUCUUGCUGGGUCCACGUGCGAGGGUCACGUUCGGAGGCGCAGACCUCUUACUGUGGCACUG